GUCAACUACCCCCACUUAACGCCUAGCGGCGUUUGAAGUGGGGGCUUGGGGAAACGUGUAAGCCAGGCUUAUACGCCCUCAGGCCCGGUUGAUUAUGCCUUAGUGGUCGGGAUGUUUACCGAAAGGGGACAGCGAACCACUACGUUAAGCCGGAAUAGAUAGGCACCCUGGGAUCCUCCACACGUUCCAGGCUCUGCGGCGGGUGUUUAAACAUCUCUGAGGGUAGGAGAAGUGAUGUCCGCUUAAACCCGGCAUUAACAUUGGCAAUGUGGACCGAC
Molecule: non-coding RNA, 278 nt
Organism: Peptococcaceae bacterium CEB3
Lineage: Bacteria; Bacillati; Bacillota; Clostridia; Eubacteriales; Peptococcaceae
Rfam family: HNH endonuclease-associated RNA and ORF (HEARO) RNA
Source: Rfam